ACCCGCUGAACUUAAGCAUAUCAAUAAGCGGAGGAAAAGAAACCAACAGGGAUUGCCCUAGUAACGGCGAGUGAAGCGGCAACAGCUCAAAUUCGAAAUCUGGCGUCUUUGGCGUCCGAGUUGUAAUUUGCAGAGGGCGCUUUGGCAUUGGCAGCGGUCCAAGUUCCUUGGAACAGGACGUCACAGAGGGUGAGAAUCCCGUACGUGGUCGCUAGCCUUUACCGUGUAAAGCCCCUUCGACGAGUCGAGUUGUUUGGGAAUGCAGCUCUAAAUGGGAGGUAAAUUUCUUCUAAAGCUAAAUACUGGCCAGAGACCGAUAGCGCACAAGUAGAGUGAUCGAAAGAUGAAAAGCACUUUGGAAAGAGAGUUAAAAAGCACGUGAAAUUGUUGAAAGGGAAGCGCUUGCAGCCAGACUUGCCUGUAGUUGCUCAUCCGGGUUUUUACCCGGUGCACUCUUCUAUAGGCAGGCCAGCAUCAGUUUGGGCGGUUGGAUAAAGGUCUCUGUCAUGUACCUCUCUUCGGGGAGAACUUAUAGGGGAGACGACAUGCAACCAGCCCGGACUGAGGUCCGCGCAUCUGCUAGGAUGCUGGCGUAAUGGCUGU
This 603-nucleotide ribosomal RNA is filed under the name uncultured fungus. RNAcentral's name for it is "eukaryotic LSU rRNA". It matches the Rfam family "Eukaryotic large subunit ribosomal RNA", at positions 23 to 641 of the family's 3401-position model. The record is from RNAcentral. Lineage: Eukaryota; Fungi.